This 240-nucleotide long non-coding RNA is filed under the name Carica papaya (papaya). RNAcentral's name for it is "long non-coding RNA (CPAP_LNC007194)". The record is from RNAcentral. Lineage: Eukaryota; Viridiplantae; Streptophyta; Magnoliopsida; Brassicales; Caricaceae.
AUAUGCACUUAUUGUAAGAACAUAGGACACACUGAGGACACAUACUUCAAACUCCAUGGUUAUCCCGAAUGAUAUACAGAACUCAAAGGAAAAAAAGGAAAAGAAAAGGCAAAUGUUGUUUCAAAUGAAAACUCCACUGACAUUAAAGGUGAAUCACCUAUCACAACAUGUUGGAAUGCAGAAAUAACCAACAUUAUACAACAAGAAAUCAGCAAAUACAUGAAAAGUCAGGGAGCAAGC